UGAAUUCCUACAACUACAAUUUAAAAUACUUAUACUUAUACUAAAAAUCCUUAUCACAGUUUGCUAUCACAGAUAGAUAUUGAAAAUUUCAAGUUACUAGCGUAGACGAACUAUAGUAGACGAACACAGAACAAAUUUGAAUUGGCUCAAACCGAACAAUUCUUAAAGCUGUUUUCACGCCCAAACGGAGUUUCGUGAUCUGCUAAAAGAAGUCGGAAAGGCCAAUUUGUUCUCGGAACACAUUU
Armigeres subalbatus is the source of this 245-nucleotide long non-coding RNA. RefSeq lists it as uncharacterized. The record is from RefSeq and is a predicted model, not a curated record. The transcript has 3 exons. Lineage: Eukaryota; Metazoa; Arthropoda; Insecta; Diptera; Culicidae.